Molecule: ribosomal RNA, 519 nt
Filed under: Triticum aestivum (bread wheat)
Lineage: Eukaryota; Viridiplantae; Streptophyta; Magnoliopsida; Poales; Poaceae
Description: partial small subunit ribosomal RNA
Source: RNAcentral
AUGUGCGCUAAAAAGCUCCAGCUUGUUGUUGACGCUGUUGGACUUGGUAAGCUUGAUGAAGCUGAGGUCCAUGAGAAAAAUAUUAUGCCAUCAUCCUAUACCGGUGGGCGUCGCUGCAUAACUGAAAACUUCCACGCCGCAAUGACUAUUUCCCAUGUCCAAGCCUCGCCUGAUAUAAUCACAGCCUUCACAACCUUCACGUGUAAUCCAAAGCGGCCUGAGAUGAUGGAGAGUCUUGAACCUGGGCAAAAAAUAGUCGAUAGGGCUGAUAUUACCAUUCGAGUAUAUCACAUGAAACUUCUUGCAUACCUAUAUACAGAAGAUCAGGAUCGGAAAGAUGUUUGGGACUGUAGUUCCUGGUACCAUGCCCAGUGCAUUUUCUCCUUUCUUCAUUUUUCUUACCCAUAUUUCUUAUUUUUCAUGUUUUUCAUUUACCCUCCUGUUUUCCAGUUCCACACACACGUGUCCUUGUUUGGCAGGAGAAGGAUGAUGACCGGGUGGUCACACCAACUUUCAUAA